RNAcentral lists this ribosomal RNA (253 nucleotides) under uncultured bacterium. Its description in RNAcentral is "partial 16S ribosomal RNA". It matches the Rfam family "Bacterial small subunit ribosomal RNA", at positions 524 to 776 of the family's 1533-position model. The record is from RNAcentral.
CACGUAGGGCGCAAGCGUUGUCCGGAAUUAUUGGGCGUAAAGAGCUCGUAGGCGGUUUGUCGCGUCUGCUGUGAAAACUGGGGGCUCAACCCCCAGCCUGCAGUGGGUACGGGCAGACUAGAGUGCGGUAGGGGAGAUUGGAAUUCCUGGUGUAGCGGUGGAAUGCGCAGAUAUCAGGAGGAACACCGAUGGCGAAGGCAGAUCUCUGGGCCGUAACUGACGCUGAGGAGCGAAAGCAUGGGGAGCGAACAGG